AGUGAACGCUGGCGGUAGGCCUAACACAUGCCAGUCGAACGGCAGCACAGUAAGAGCUUGCUCUUACGGGUGGCGAGUGGCGGACGGGUGAGGAAUACAUCGGAAUCUACUUUUUCGUGGGGGAUAACGUAGGGAAACUUACGCUAAUACCGCAUACGACCUACGGGUGAAAGCAGGGGAUCUUCGGACCUUGCGCGAUUGAAUGAGCCGAUGUCGGAUUAGCUAGUUGGCGGGGUAAAGGCCCACCAAGGCGACGAUCCGUAGCUGGUCUGAGAGGAUGAUCAGCCACACUGGAACUGAGACACGGUCCAGACUCCUACAGGAGGCAGCAGUGGGGAAUAUUGGACAAUGGGCGCAAGCCUGAUCCAGCCAUACCGCGUGGGUGAAGAAGGCCUUCGGGUUGUAAAGCCCUUUUGUUGGGAAAGAAAAGCAGCAGGUUAAUACCCCGCUGUUCUGACGGUACCCAAAGAAUAAGCACCGGCUAACUUCGUG
RNAcentral lists this ribosomal RNA (492 nucleotides) under uncultured bacterium. RNAcentral describes it as "partial 16S ribosomal RNA". It matches the Rfam family "Bacterial small subunit ribosomal RNA", at positions 29 to 507 of the family's 1533-position model. The record is from RNAcentral.